UUCGGAUUGUAAACCACUGUCACGCGUUAUGAACACCGGGGAGACAACAUCAAUCCGGAUGACAAAGGCGCGAGAGGAAGCCACGGCUAACUCUGUGCCAGCAGCCGCGGUAAGACAGAGGUGGCAAGCGUUGCUCGGAGUUACUGGGCAUAAAGGGCGCGUAGGCGGUCGUGCACGUCGAGGGUGAAAUCCCCGGGCUUAACCCGGGAACUGCCUUUGAUACGGCGCGACUCGAGUGCGGGAGGGGAGAGUGGAACUCCUGGUGGAGCGGUGAAAUGCGUAGAUAUCAGGAGGAACGCCGGUGGCGAAAGCGACUCUCUGGUCCGCAACUGACGCUGAGGCGCGAAAGCUAGGGGAGCAAACGGGAUUAGAUACCCCGGUAGUCCUAGCCCUAAACUAUGAGCACUAGGUAGCGGCAGGGUCCGACUUGUCGCUGCUGAAGCAAAUGUAUUAAGUGCUCCGCCUGGGGAGUAUGGCCGCAAGGCUAAAACUCAAAGGAAUUGACGGA
Molecule: ribosomal RNA, 508 nt
Filed under: uncultured bacterium
Lineage: Bacteria
Description: bacterial SSU rRNA
Rfam family: Bacterial small subunit ribosomal RNA
Source: RNAcentral